Molecule: long non-coding RNA, 430 nt
Filed under: Vitis vinifera (wine grape)
Lineage: Eukaryota; Viridiplantae; Streptophyta; Magnoliopsida; Vitales; Vitaceae
Description: long non-coding RNA (VVIN_LNC002834)
Source: RNAcentral
CAAUUGUUUCUGCAGCGGCAGGUUUGCGAAACAGAAGUCUGGAAAACAAAGCUGUAAUUGUGAGUGAGGCGGAGAAGAAUGUUUGGCCUGCAAUCACAGGCGUACAAGUAUUUUCCAUUGACGGGAGCAGCAGAGGCUCACCAGCUCAUGGAAAGCAGCAAGCAUGUUGGGAAGAUACCGUGCAUUCAAUUAUGUUAUGGUUAUGAAUGAUCUUAUGCCUCAGAGGGAUGACAUGAUUUUAAAACUCUUAAUGAGUAUCUACUAUCUUGAGUUGAUUGUAGUUGAUUGUAGUUUGAGCAUGAAAAUUUGAAGAUCCAGAACAGCAAAUGCAGAAUGCCUAUCAAUUUGAAACCAGCAUGGGUGGAUGAAUGGAGAGGUUCUUCACUGAAUUUGUCCAUGAAGUGGUUUCCAUUAAAUUGCUUGAUUUGAA